RNAcentral lists this ribosomal RNA (492 nucleotides) under uncultured bacterium. Its description in RNAcentral is "partial 16S ribosomal RNA". It matches the Rfam family "Bacterial small subunit ribosomal RNA", at positions 29 to 507 of the family's 1533-position model. The record is from RNAcentral.
AGUGAACGCUGGCGGUAGGCCUAACACAUGCAAGUCGAACGGCAGCACAGUAAGAGCUUGCUCUUACGGGUGGCGAGUGGCGGACGGGUGAGGAAUACAUCGGAAUCUACUUUUUCGUGGAGGAUAACGUAGGGAAACUUACGCUAAUACCGCAUACGACCUACGGGUUAAAGCAGGGGAUCUUCGGACCUUGCGCGAUUGAAUGAGCCGAUGUCGGAUUAGCUAGUUGGCGGGGUAAAGGCCCACCAAGGCGACGAUCCGUAGCUGGUCUGAGAGGAUGAUCAGCCACACUGGAACUGAGACACGGUCCAGACUCCUACGGGAGGCAGCAGUGGGGAAUAUUGGACAAUGGGCGCAAGCCUGAUCCAGCAAUACCGCGUGGGUGAAGAAGGCUUUCGGGUUGUAAAGCCCUUUUGUUGGGAAAGAAAAGCAGCAGGUUAAUACCCCGCUGUUCUGACGGUACCCAAAGAAUAAGCACCGGCUAACUUCGUG